GCGCAAGCCUGAUGCAGCCAUGCCGCGUGUAUGAAGAAGGCCUUCGGGUUGUAAAGUACUUUCACCAGUGAGGAAGGCGGAUGUGUUAAUAGCGCAUUUGUUUGACGUUAGCUGCAGAAGAAGCACCGGCUAACUCCGUGCCAGCAGCCGCGGUAAUACGGAGGGUGCGAGCGUUAAUCGGAAUUACUGGGCGUAAAGCGCAUGCAGGUGGUUUGUUAAGUCAGAUGUGAAAGCCCGGGGCUCAACCUCGGAAUUGCAUUUGAAACUGGCAGGCUAGAGUACUGUAGAGGGGGGUAGAAUUUCAGGUGUAGCGGUGAAAUGCGUAGAGAUCUGAAGGAAUACCGGUGGCGAAGGCGGCCCCCUGGACAGAUACUGACACUCAGAUGCGAAAGCGUGGGGAGCAAACAGGAUUAGAUACCCUGGUAGUCCACGCCGUCAACGAUGUCUACUUGGAGGUUGUGGCCUUGAGCCGUGGCUUUCGGAGCUAACGCGUUAAGUAGACCGC
This 505-nucleotide ribosomal RNA is filed under the name DMSP-degrading marine bacterium JA1. RNAcentral describes it as "bacterial SSU rRNA". It matches the Rfam family "Bacterial small subunit ribosomal RNA", at positions 375 to 872 of the family's 1533-position model. Lineage: Bacteria; Pseudomonadati; Pseudomonadota; Gammaproteobacteria. The record is from RNAcentral.